RNAcentral lists this long non-coding RNA (215 nucleotides) under Elaeis guineensis (African oil palm). Its description in RNAcentral is "long non-coding RNA (EGUI_LNC007071)". The record is from RNAcentral. Lineage: Eukaryota; Viridiplantae; Streptophyta; Magnoliopsida; Arecales; Arecaceae.
AAUUCCUUAACUAGCUGAAUUGAACUAACAUCCUGUGAUAGAUAAACUGAAGGUUUAAUCUCAAACUCCAUCUACUCAUCAAUAUUAUAAUCUUUAUCUAUAGCAACUGACUCCUUUCUUGAAAGAAGCAUAGCCUUUUACCUCAAAGAUAUUAUCUCUAAUGACUAUGAAUUUCGAAGAAGGCUCAAUACUCCAUAAUUUGUAGCCUUUCACCC